This 83-nucleotide transfer RNA is filed under the name Luteolibacter ambystomatis. It matches the Rfam family "tRNA". Rfam says of the family: Transfer RNA (tRNA) molecules are approximately 80 nucleotides in length. Their secondary structure includes four short double-helical elements and three loops (D, anti-codon, and T loops). The record is from Rfam by way of RNAcentral. Lineage: Bacteria; Pseudomonadati; Verrucomicrobiota; Verrucomicrobiia; Verrucomicrobiales; Verrucomicrobiaceae.
GCCUCCGUGGUGGAAUGGUAGACGCUGCGGACUUAAAAUCCGUUGUCCGCAAGGACGUGCCGGUUCGAGUCCGGCCGGAGGCA